UCACCUCUAUUUCUCUAGUUUCUCAUCUCCUUCUUCAAUCUAUCUUCUCAUCCCAUUUCUCUUAUCUAUCACUAGUUAUUUCUUCUUGUAUUUCAGAUUGCCUUAAAUAUAGUUUAUCAAGUAUUGUUGUUGUUUACAGAAGUGUAGUUGGUUCAGUUUAUCAAUACAAAGGUGUCCUUGAGAACUAUUGUUAUUGUUCCUUAGUAACCUCUUUGUUACAUUGGUGCUUUCAUCCAGAGGUCUUUAAUGGAGGACCAACAACUCAAGGCUCUAAUUGCAGAAUCAAUGAAAGAAGUAAAGGAUUCAUUCGCCAAGGAUCUCGCUGACAUGCGAGCCUUUUUCCAAGAGAUGGUGGGGAAAAUAGUUCUGAUGGGUGCUCCUUAACGAGAUCCGUUCAUGGAUGCUCCAACGGCACCAACCCUUCGUCAUAAACCAGCUUCGGUUGAGUUGGGUCGUUUUGGUGGUGAAAACCCAGAAGCAUGGCUAUUUCAGGCCGAGCGUUACUUUGAUUUCUAUGGCAUCGCGGCAGCACACAGAUAUACCUUAGCGUCUUUUUACCUUGAUGGAGAAGCCUUGGAUUGGUACCGAUGGUUGUUUCGUAACAAACAACUAGUCGGAUGGGACCAUUUUGUUGAAAAAGUGAAGAUCCGUUUUCAACCAAAAGGGCUUGAGUCAGCGGAGGGAAGAUUGGCGAAGCUCCGUCAGACGACCACGGUAUCAGAGUUCCAGGGACGUUUUGAGGCUAUGGCAAACCAGACCAAUGAUAUCUCAGAGAGGCUGAUGGUUCGUCUGUGCAUCUCUGGGCUAAGAGAGGAUAUUAAGGGUUCUGUACUUGCUCAUGGACCUAAAAGUUUUGAGGAAGCUCUUGAUUUGGCCCAUAUACAUGAGAAGAGGAUCCAGGCGGAAAAGGGGCAUGUUCAACCCGCCUUUGCUAAUAGGAUUCCAGCCUUGCUUCCAAACCCUAGCACCAAAACCUUUCAUGAUCCAUCUUCUAAGUCCAUUGUUCCUGCUUUUUUAUCGACCCCAACACAUAAUAGACCACCACUCAAGCGUUUAACACAAGCUGAGAUCCAAAGCCGUCGAGAGCGUGGUCUUUGUUAUUACUGUGAAGAGAAGUAUACUGUAGGCCAUAAAUGUAAAACCCCACCUCAUCUUCUACUCCUUACGGAUGGGUCAACUAUGGACCCUCUAUUGUUGGACCCUUUUGUCACAGAUGAUAUUUUGGCUCAGGAUUUGCAGUGCUUAGAGUUACAGGAACAUUCCGCUAUUUCCUACAAUGCACUUGCCGGAGGAAGUUCACCUUCUACACUUCGAUUUACAGGGCAAGUGAAUGGAACUUCGAUUCAGAUCUUGGUGGAUGGAGGAAGUACCCAUAAUUUCAUUCAGGAACGAGUGGCACGCUUCCUGCAAUUGUCCACUGAAACCAUCUCUAGCUUCCCUGUUGUUGUGGGGAGUGGCCAGCGCCUCCGCUGUGAUGGAGUGGCCAGAGGCAUCACAGUGUUGAUUAAGGGAACUACACUCAUUGAAGACCUGUAUAUCAUGUCACUACAUGGCGCCGACCUUGUUCUCGGGGUUUCUUGGUUGGCAAAACUAGGUCCAGUGCUCACUAACUAUGCGACGAGAACGUUGGAAUUCAAUGUAGGAGGAAACCAAGUAGUAUGGCAGGGUGAAUCUCCGACUGAUGUGCAACCCGUACAACUGCAUAGCUUAAGAUGAAAGGAAGCUACGGAAGCCAUUGCAUCCUGUUUUUGUCUGGAGAUAGUUACUGGAUAUAACUCUGUUAUAGAGCAGCCUACUGUGGAAUUAGCAACUUUGUUAGAACUAUAUGCUGAUGUAUUUCAAAAACCAUCGGGAUUGCCACCUUCCCGUAUCCAGGACCAUGCUAUACAUCUCAAUUCUGGGGCACAACCAGUGAAUGUUAAAUCCUAUAGGUAUCCUUAUUUUCAGAAACAUGCCAUGGAGCAAAUGGUUUCUGAGAUGCUUAAAGAAGGGGUGAUACGGGCUAGCACCAGCCCAUUCUCAUCGCCGGUGUUGCUGGUUCGAAAGAAAGAUGGCACUUGGCGUUUUUGUGUUGACUAUCGAGCGCUCAAUGCAAUCACAGUGAAGGAUCGGUUCCCAAUCCCAACUAUUGAUGAAUUAUUUGACGAAUUGCAUGGGGCUCAUUAUUUUUCUAAGCUUGAUCUACUCUCAGGUUACCACCAAAUUCGUGUGACGCCUUAGAACGUGUCUAAAACAGCCUUUCGAACUCAUGAUGGUCACUAUGAGUUCUUAGUAAUGCCGUUUGGAUUAACUAAUGCUCCUUCAACCUUCCAGGCAAAAAUGAAUGAGAUUUUCAGGCCGCACUUGCGUCGCUUUGUUCUCGUAUUUUUUGACGAUAUCUUGGUCUACAGCCCUUCUUGGAACACUCAUUUGGAGCAUGUGGAGACUGUCUUACAAUUACUACGACAACAUCAAUUAGGGGCUACGCGCUCUAAGUGUUUGUUUGGGCAGCCAUCAGUUGAUUACUUGGGCCACAUUAUUUCGGCGCAAGGCUUGGCAGUGAAUCCGAAUAAAAUUGAGGUGAUACAACAAUGGCACCCUCCUAAAACAGUAAAAGAGGUGCGUAGUUUCCUUGGACUUGCUGGGUAUUAUCGACGUUUUAUUCACCAUUUUGCAGCAAUAGCAGGGCCACUGUAUAACUUGCUGCGGCGAGACUCCUAUCAAUGGACAGAGGCAGAGCAACAGGCCUUUGACACUCUUAAGGCCAAACUGGUUUCUACUCCUAUCUUAUGUCUGCCUGACUUUGGCCAAGAAUUUCAGGUUGAGACUGAUGCGUCGGGGCAAAGCAUUGGUGCUAUACUUUCUCAAAAGGGUCAUCCAAUUGCAUACUUCAGUCAACAAUUGAGCGCCCAAAUGCAAAAGGCAUCACUUACCAUCGAGAAAUGUUUGUAAUAACUCAAGCUGUGAGUAAAUGGAGGCAAUACUUGUUGGGGCGCAAAUUCACUAUUAUUACUGAUCAACAAUCAUUGAAGAGCCUCACAUCAGACUAUUCAAACUCCUGAGCAACAAAAAUGGCUCACGAAGUUAGUGGGGUUUGAUUUCCAGAUAGUCUAUAGGCCUGGGAAACAGAAUGCUGCUGCAGAUGCACUUUCUUGUAACUUUGAGGCAGCCUAUAUGACCAUCUCUAUUACGUCACUUGAACUAGAACAAGAAUUGAGACAACUAAAUGCUAAUCACUCGGAGUUACUAGCAAUACAACAAGCGAAACAAAGAUCGGAUGAGGACUUUGUUGAUUACCAGUUUAAGGAGGGGAUAUUAUUUUACAAAGGUCGGAUAGUAAUUCCUACUGAUUCACCUUUGCGCCAUAAGCUGAUGUUUGAGUUUCAUGCCACUUCUAUUGGGGGUCAUGCUGGGGUUACUCGGACUUACCAUUGAUUGGCCUCCAACUUCUUUUGGAAGCAUAUGCGCAAGGAUGUCCAGUCUGUUGUCGCAACUUGCUACAUUUUUUUUUAUGACAAGUUUAACCCGCAGCCGCUACCCUUUGGGUGCGCACAGGGUAAAACCCCCGCUCCUAUGCAAUAGCUCGCAAACCACAUAGGAGAGGUAACCUGCACUAGGCAAGCCCGGUGCGACAAGCUCAACCCAGAAGACAAACCCCUUGCUUUCGUUGGCAAGGGGUUUCGAACUUGAGACCUUCAUCAUGGAAGUCCCAAGCCCAAACCACUGGGCCACCCCGAAUGGUGCAACUUGCUACAUUUGCCAACAGAUGAAAGACUCUCACUUGCACCCGGCAGGUUUACUUCAGCCUUUGCCAAUACCGGACCAAGUCUUUGAGGAUAUUGCCAUGGAUUUUAUCACUUGCCUUCCUAGCUCCAAAGGCAAGACUACCAUCAUGACUGUGGUGGAUCGUCUCACCAAAUAUGGGCAUUUUAUACCCUUACCAUCCACCUUCUCAACUUAUACGGUAGCUGAAGCAUUCGUGAUUUGGGUUAUCAGGUUACACGAAACCCCUUGAACUGUUGUAACUGAUCGAGAUCCUCGCUUUCUGCACUCUUUUUGGCAGGAGAUUCAUCAUUUGCAGGCAUCCACGUUGGCAAUGAGUACAGCUUUUCACCCUCAAACGGAUGGCCAAUCUGAGGCCCUCAACAAGUGUGUUGAGCAGUACCUAAGAUGCUAUGUUGCUGAUGUUCCUGCUACUUGGGUUUCCAUGUUGCCUUGGGCAGAGUUCUGGUACAAUACUUCGUACCAAACUUCCGCUGGAAUGACACCUUUUCAGGCUUUGUAUGGGCGUGAGCCUCCUACUGUUGCACGAUAUAUAUUAGGAAGUACAUCCAGUGAGUUAGUAGAGUCCUUCUUGCUGCAGAGGGACAAAGUGUUACAACUACUCAAGCAUAAUUUGGUAAAAUCUCAGAAUCGCAUGAAGGCUUUUGCAGAUAAAUCUCGCACUGAGAUUACAUAUGAGGUAGGGGAUUGGGUCUUUGUGAAGCUUAAACCUUACAAGCAGUCUACUCUGCGUUUGCAACGCGAUCACAAGUUGGGGAGGCGCUACUUUGGGCCUUACAAAAUUCUGAAACGUGUAGGUGUCGUGGCUUACAAAUUGGAUCUUCCCGAGGCUGCCAAAAUUCAUUCUGUGUUCCAUGUUUCUGCCUUGAAACGAUGUGUUGGUGAACCAGUUCAACAAGUCACUCCAUUGCAGCUCACAGACACAACAUCUUUAGCAGAUCAACCUAAUCCCAACCUUGAGGACAAGGUUGUUUUUCAGGGAGGGAGUAUUGUUGUGAACAAGAGGAAUCAAGUUGCUGACCUGGAUGACAUGGGGGAUGCCACGGAGAAUAAUCGCAUGGAUAUGCCACGUAAGAGUUCUAGAAGAGUAAUUCCUCCUAAAAGACUUGGCGAUUACGUUUGGAAGAGUGGGAGGUCACGUGACAAAGGACAAAGUUUGCUGCAACAAAAUGUAUAAACAGAAUAAGGACUGGGCAUAAUGGGGCAAACAAAAUCAUGAUGGAUCUUUCUGAUUUCUCACCUCUAUUUCUCUAGUUUCUCAUCUCCUUCUUCAAUCUAUCUUCUCAUCCCAUUUCUCUUAUCUAUCACUAGUUAUUUCUUCUUGUAUUUCAGAUUGCCUUAAAUAUAGUUUAUCAAGUAUUGUUGUUGUUUACAGAAGUGUAGUUGGUUCAGUUUAUCAAUACAAAGGUGUCCUUGAGAACUAUUGUUAUUGUUCCUUAGUAACCUCUUUGUUACACC
RNAcentral lists this long non-coding RNA (5220 nucleotides) under Solanum tuberosum (potato). Its description in RNAcentral is "long non-coding RNA (STUB_LNC002930)". The record is from RNAcentral. Lineage: Eukaryota; Viridiplantae; Streptophyta; Magnoliopsida; Solanales; Solanaceae.